RNAcentral lists this unclassified non-coding RNA (334 nucleotides) under soil metagenome. RNAcentral describes it as "partial contains 5.8S ribosomal RNA, internal transcribed spacer 2, and large subunit ribosomal RNA". The stretch from base 1 to 120 matches the Rfam family "5.8S ribosomal RNA", at positions 35 to 154 of the family's 154-position model. The record is from RNAcentral.
GAUGAAGAACGCAGUGAAAUGCGAUAAGUAAUGUGAAUUGCAGAAUUCAGUGAAUCAUCGAAUCUUUGAACGCGCAUUGCGCCCGCCAGUAUUCUGGCGAGCAUGCCUGUUCGAGCGUCAUUUCAACCAUCAAGCCCCAGGCUUGUGUUGGAGCCCUGCGGCUGCCGCAGCCUCCCAAAACCAGUGGCGGGCUCGCUAUCACACCGAGUGCAGUAGUUUACUCUUCGCUCAGGGCGUGUGGCGGGUGCUAGCCGUGAAACCCCCAACUUCUCAAGGUUGACCUCGGAUCAGGUAGGAAUACCCGCUGAACUUAAGCAUAUCAAUAAGCGGAGGA